GCUCACAGGCACAUCAUAUCCAUAACACCUGUGCACUUGUCGGAUGGCUUAGUGAAGACCGCAAGGUUGGAUCUAUCCAUCUACUUUACAUAACAAUUCUGUAACAAAUGUAGUCUUAUUAUAACAUAAUAAAACUUUCAACAACGGAUCUCUUGGCUCUCGCAACGAUGAAGAACGCAGCGAAAUGCGAUACGUAAUGCGAAUUGCAGAAUUCAGUGAAUCAUCAAAUCUUUGAACGCAAAUUGCGCUCUUGGGUAGCCCUAGGAGCACGCCUCUCUCAGUAUCGGUUCAACCACCUCUCAGCAGCGUAUGCAAAUACGUGUUGGCUGGAAAAUGAGAGUGUAAUUUUCACAAUUACUCUCUUUAAGUACAUUGAGUGAGCACCACACAUUUACACGCUCUACUUCGGUAGAAGCCAGUUUCGAGCUGGUCGUGUAUAAGUGACGUGAAUACUGAGCCUUGUGCUCUUACAUUUACGUGUAACUUGUAUAUGACUAUUAAGGUUUUUAAUUGGUGUGUCUAUGGAGAUGCUCAUGUAACGCGGCUCUAGCUGCAAUCGGCUUUGAUUAAUUUUGAAGUCUGAAUUUUGAUCUGAGAUGAAGCGAGACAACCCCCUGAAUUUAAGCAUAUUAAUAAGGGGAGGAAAAGAAACUAACAAGGAUUCCCCUAGUAACGGCGAGUGAAGCGGGAAGAGCUCAAUUUGAAAAUCGACUACCUAAGCGGGUCGUCGAGUUGUAGCCUAGAGACGUACUAUCAGCUG
This 760-nucleotide ribosomal RNA is filed under the name uncultured fungus. RNAcentral describes it as "eukaryotic LSU rRNA". The stretch from base 133 to 286 matches the Rfam family "5.8S ribosomal RNA". The record is from RNAcentral. Lineage: Eukaryota; Fungi.